Molecule: ribosomal RNA, 523 nt
Filed under: Bacillus cereus
Lineage: Bacteria; Bacillati; Bacillota; Bacilli; Caryophanales; Bacillaceae
Description: bacterial SSU rRNA
Rfam family: Bacterial small subunit ribosomal RNA
Source: RNAcentral
CAAGUCGAGCGAAUGGAUUAAGAGCUUGCUCUUAUGAAGUUAGCGGCGGACGGGUGAGUAACACGUGGGUAACCUGCCCAUAAGACUGGGAUAACUCCGGGAAACCGGGGCUAAUACCGGAUAACAUUUUGAACCGCAUGGUUCGAAAUUGAAAGGCGGCUUCGGCUGUCACUUAUGGAUGGACCCGCGUCGCAUUAGCUAGUUGGUGAGGUAACGGCUCACCAAGGCAACGAUGCGUAGCCGACCUGAGAGGGUGAUCGGCCACACUGNGACUGAGACACGGCCCAGACUCCUACGGGAGGCAGCAGUAGGGAAUCUUCCGCAAUGGACGAAAGUCUGACGGAGCAACGCCGCGUUAGUGAUGAAGGCUUUCGGGUCGUAAAACUCUGUUGUUAAGGAAGAACAAGUGCUAGUUGAAUAAGCUGGCACCUUGACGGUACCUAACCAGAAAGCCACGGCUAACUACGUUGCAGCAGCCGCGGUAAUACGUAAGUGGCAAGCGUUAUCCGGAAUUAUUGGGCGU